RNAcentral lists this ribosomal RNA (1203 nucleotides) under metagenome. RNAcentral's name for it is "bacterial SSU rRNA". It matches the Rfam family "Bacterial small subunit ribosomal RNA", at positions 8 to 1196 of the family's 1533-position model. The record is from RNAcentral.
AGGGUUUGAUCCUGGCUCAGAGAGAACGGUGGCGGCGUGGAUUAGGCAUGCAAGUCGCACGAGAACGGUUUAGCUUGCUAGACCAAGUAAAGUGGCGAACGGGUGAGUAACGUAUGGACAAUCUAUCCUUGACUCGGGGACAACAGCUGGAAACGGCUGCUAAUACCCGAUAGCCCCGGUAGGAGGUACUCCGGCCGGGUAAAGGGGGGCAACUUCCGAUCGAGGAGGGGUCCAUAUCCCAUCAGCUUGUUGGCGAGGUAACGGCUCACCAAGGCAAUGACGGGUAGCCGAACUGAGAGGUUGAUCGGCCACAUCGGGACUGAGACACUGCCCGGACUCCUACGGGAGGCUGCAGUCGAGAAUCUUCCGCAAUGGACGAAAGUCUGACGGAGCGACGCCGCGUGAAGGAUGAAGGCCCUCGGGUCGUAAACUUCUGUCACUCGUGAAGAAUGUCUGCAGUAAAGCUGUCGACUGACGUUAGCGAGAGAGGAAGCCACGGCUAACUUCGUGCCAGCAGCCACGGUAAGACGAAGGUGGCAACCGUUGCUCGGAUUCACUGGGCAUAAAGAGCGCGUAGGUGGCUAGGCAGGUCGACGGUGAAAUCCCACGGCUCAACCGUGGAACUGCCGCCGAAACCGCCUGGCUUGAGGACGGGAGGGGAGAGUGGAACUCUUGGUGUAGCGGUGAAAUGCGUAGAUAUCAAGAGGAACGCCGGUGGCGAAAGCGACUCUCUGGACCGUUCCUGACACUGAGGCGCGAAAGCUAGGGGAGCAAACAGGAUUAGAUACCCUGGUAGUCCUAGCUGUAAACGAUGGGCACUGGGUAGGGGUGGACUGAUGCCUUCCCUGCCGGAGCUAAUGUGUUAAGUGCCCCGCCUGGGGAGUAUGGUCGCAAGGCUAAAACUCAAAGGAAUUGACGGGGGCUCACACAAGCGGUGGAGGAUGUGGUUUAAUUCGAAACAACGCGCAGAACCUUACCCGGGUUUGAAAUGCAGGGAUUAGGCUCCUGAAAGGGAGCUGACGCCGUAAGGUGGAACCUGUACAGGUGUUGCAUGGCUGUCGUCAGCUCGUGUCGUGAGAUGUCGGGUUAAGUCCCUUAACGAGCGAAACCCUUGUCUUUAGUUGCCAGCGGGUAAUGCCGGGGACUCUAGAGAGACUGCCGUUGUUAAAACGGAGGAAGGUGGGGAUGACGUCAAGUCAUCAU